This 406-nucleotide unclassified non-coding RNA is filed under the name soil metagenome. Its description in RNAcentral is "partial contains 5.8S ribosomal RNA, internal transcribed spacer 2, and large subunit ribosomal RNA". The stretch from base 1 to 121 matches the Rfam family "5.8S ribosomal RNA", at positions 35 to 154 of the family's 154-position model. The record is from RNAcentral.
GAUGAAGAACGUAGCGAAAUGCGAUAAGUAAUGUAAAUUGCAGAAUUCAGUGAAUCAUCGAAUCUUUGAACGCACCUUGCGCCCUUUGGCCAUUCCGAAGGGCAUGCCUGUUUGAGUAUCAUGAACACCUCAACUCUUCAUGGUUUUCCAUGAUGAGCUUGGACUUUGGGGGUCUUGCUGGCCUGUGGGUCGGCUCCUCUCAAAUGAAUCAGCUUGCCGGUUUUUGGUGGGCAUCACAGGUGUGAUAACUAUCUACGCUUGUGGUUUUCCACCAGGGUAACCUUCAGCAGUGGAGGUUCACUGGAGCUUACAAAUGUCUCUCCUCUGUGAGGACAGCCCUUUGAAUGUUUGAUCUCAAAUCAGGUAGGACUACCCGCUGAACUUAAGCAUAUCAAUAAGCGGAGGA